Non-coding RNA from Cucurbita pepo subsp. pepo (vegetable marrow), 785 nucleotides. Lineage: Eukaryota; Viridiplantae; Streptophyta; Magnoliopsida; Cucurbitales; Cucurbitaceae. The record is from RefSeq and is a predicted model, not a curated record.
GAAAGUUUGAGAGAGAAUUGAAUAGCCGGAGUCUUCGUCGGAGAGUCACUGACGGAAUCCAUUCCCUACUAAGACCUACACUAUGGAGUCCUUUUUGGAGAGAAGUAAGAACUCGUGUUGUUGAGAUUUCCUCCUCUUUCGUCAAGAUCAGAAAGAAAACCCGCAAGGGAAGAUCCGUCACUAAUUUUGUGAGGAAAUAAACGUCGAGAUCUGAGAAUCUUUCCAAGAACAGAGGAGAGAGAAGCCGCCGGUGUGCCACGUGUCAACCGGCUAGAGGACCGCGUGCGCCAACCACCUUCGGACACACGUCGAACGCCACCUGGGAAAACGCGGCUCCAGCCUCCCUGCGUCACGCAUCCCCGGCAACGCAACCUUGCUCGCAUCCCUCGGCUGACCCGAUACCCGCGCGGCGAACCAAACCGAACCGACGACCCGCGGUCCACCCGAACCACUGUUUUCGAACCGAACCGGCGACCCGCGACUGCAGAAAAUCCUGGGCGCGUGACACUCACGCGUGGAACCUGCGAGUGGUUGCACCCCGGCGCGUGGCUGGCGCAUGGAAGCGCGUGACCUAAUUGAGGAAAAUCACUACCUUUUAAUACGCCAAUUGUGUGGAACCGGUGCGUUAGGGCACGCAUCAUUCAAGUACGUGAGGCGUCGAGUCAAGAGAGGGCACGUUGAUCGUGUCCUAGGGCGUCAGUCUAGUUUUACUAAAUAGUACACUUUGUCUUUCAUGUUUUCCUUCUUGUUUUUACCUAGACACAUGUACUUUUGGUAAUAAAACA